Molecule: long non-coding RNA, 2990 nt
Organism: Leopardus geoffroyi (Geoffroy's cat)
Lineage: Eukaryota; Metazoa; Chordata; Mammalia; Carnivora; Felidae
Exons: 2
Source: RefSeq, a predicted model, not a curated record
UGGUCCUGCGGGGUGCCCCCCUCCCCCCAGGGGGUCUGGUCCUGCGGGGUGCCCCCCUCCCCCCAGGUGCUCUGGUCCCACGGGGUCUGGUCCUUUGGGGUGCCCCCUCCCUGCGAGGAGAGGAGUCCUGGUUUCCAAGGUGCCCAGCGGUGACGCCAGGGUGUGCAGGCGGGCUGGCGGAUGGGCGGGUGGGGGGAGCCGGAACAGGAGCCAGCACGAUGGAAAGUGGGGGAGAGGGGAUCCCCCCGCGCUUUCCCGAGCCAGCAGCCGAGUCACAGGGAGGUUUCCAUUUAUGGUAAAACACAGGAAGAAGGAUCAUCCCGAAACCGCCUCUGAGGGAGGCUGGGGUGAUGUCACCCAGCCUGGACGCAGGCGGUGGUGGCCCUGGGAGGCAGCAGCAGAUUCACAGCGAUUUCUGAGGUUGGAACAGGAAAUGGUUAAUAGUGUUUGCAAAUAAAAACUUUCUGUUCUAUCCUGUUUUUGAAGCAUUUCCCAGAAGUUAAAAAAGAACACCUAAUUUAUCUGCCCAUUUUAAGAACCAAAUUUUAAAAAUGUGAACAAAAUACUACACCAUUUACUGCGCACAAGAAUGAAGGGAGUCGGGUGUUUGUGAGGUGUAGGAGGGUCACAGGAGAUUUCCAGGUCCCCUCACUUUCUAAACUUUCUAGAAUGCUGUUCGUUGUUUAAAUGUGGACUCUUAUCUUAAAUUUCCGAAUGCGCUUGUGUGUGUGUGUGCGUACGUGUACGUGCUCCCGUGUGUGUGUGUGCUGUGUGUUCACAGGCGUGUGCGAGACACGGUUCACGUGAACGCGUCCCUGACCUCUGGUGGUGGACGCCACUCGGGCUCCUCGCUGGCCACUGGCACGUGGACGUGGACGAGGGAGGGGCCUUGUCCCGCCCUGCACCCACCUGCUCAUUUUGAUGGAGAAACGAAACCUAACUGUCUACUGGUUUGAGGAAAUCGCACUGUCAAACCAACUGUUUGCCAGUUUUUUAUUUUUUCUUUUGCAAAAUCACCACAUGGCCGAUUGGUUAUGGCAGACACACUCACGGCAAAUAUGUCUGUGGCCAAUGUGCCAGCCACACAGGCACAGCCUCACGGGUCCCCAGGCCCCUGGUCUGUCCCUUCUUUGUCCAGGGUGGUCUCUGCUCCUUGCAGGGCAAGCCCCCCUCCCACCGAGGCUUGGAGGACGUGACUGGCCCCCGCCUGGCAGCAGCCGGGGGGACGCCAGGGCAAAGAACUUGGGGGCACUGGGAAGAGCCCGUAGGAGCAGAUGCCGCUGCCUGCCUGCGGCCCAGGAUGCCCGCCCCGCCCGCCUGCUGGGGGCUGGGGUCUGCGCGGGCAGCGUGUCCCUGGAGGUGUACAACUUCUGCUGGUGUUUGGAGGAGGGCAGGGGUGAACCCAGCAUGAUUAUUGCCACUCGAUUUUCUCUCCUGGCCUGUCUGUCUCUCAACUUUUCUCCCUCCAGGCACACGAGGUGGGGUCCGGCCGACAGAGCAAACCAGCCAGCCAGCCAGCCAGCUGGCCUCCAGCUUAGACUCCUUUGCUGUGCUGUCCUGCCCCAAAGCUGGUACUUCUCUGGUCCAGCCUCGCAGUGAGUGGCUUUGGGGGAACCUGCCCAGGCCACGCCUAGGCCAAGAGGGGGACAGAUGCUCUGAGCUCUGAGAUCCACUCCCUCGGGGCUGCCCAGGGGUGAGGCCCUGCCUUCCAGCCACCUUCUCGGAAAGCUGAACUCAAGAUGAGUGCCAGGCAGGCAAGAGAGGGUCCGUCGGGGAGAGGAGAGCGCCGUCUCUGUCAGACGGAUAUCACAUCGCUGAGAGAUCGAAGAAGUUUCAGAAAUGCAAAACAUGAUGUGAACAUCAAGUCACGUGCCAGGAUUAGCUGCAGACUGGGCGAGCAGAGAUUUUGUCAGCCGUCGAGAAGGGGAAAGGAUUGCUCUGAGUGCAGGUUAGUGAGACACAGAGUCCGGGGCCCCACAGGGGAUGGGGCUCUGCCCUCUGAAGGCGUUGGCUGGCUUCACACCCUGGAGCUCCGGGGCUUUCCACAAAGCAACAGGACCAGAGCGCAACAUCCGAACUCCUAGAAGGGUGGGAAGGGAGAUUGGAAACAGUGCACCCACAGGGGAGAGCAGGGACCUGGGGACAGGCUGGCGGUCAGAGCGGAGGAGGCCCAGGCCGCCGGGAAGGCCCACGGAGCACGCUGGCCCCGGGGCGGAGGCAGUGGUCCUGAAAGCUGAAGACGGAUGUCCGACCUUCAUCUGGGGGACGUGAGCGUGAACAGCGGCUUGCCCUGAUUGGGGGCAGAGGCCCAGACACACGCGCACAGUAUGUGUCCUGCAGGGUUCCUUUUGCAGAAAGCUCAAAGCGGCAAAAAGAAACAAUUUCAGCUGGCGGAGCUCCAAGGGGCUACCCCCCCCCCCCCCGCCCCGUAGAGCCUCUGCAGGGGAGGGGCACCCCAGAGAGUUUUGGGGGUGCCGCGCAAGAUCUUUAUAACAACUUGUGAAGCAUUAUGUUUUAGCCAUUUUUUUAGGUACACGUUUUACAUUUCUAGCCAAUAAAAAGUUUGAAAAAAAACCAUGGGGAAAAUUUACAAUGAUACAUGUUCCGUAAAGUUCCUCACAGCCUUGUUUCUGAUGGCAAAGAAUGAGCACGGGCGGGGGCGGGGCACGCAGACUUGGGCUCGGCUGCGGACUGGAAAGAUGUCAGAUAUUUCCAGACGGACGAGUACGGACCGCCGGCCGAGGUAUGUCGUGGAGUAAAGAGGCCAUGCUGUACGAUAACAUGUUUAGCAUGAGUUCCUGUUCAUGAAAAAUAGAUACGAAAAUUUACACAGGCACGUGUGUGAAAAACGUAUGGAUGUCAGCACACACAAGGAUGAUCAUGUACGAUUUGAUUGUAUUGCAGUUUUUCCCUUUUUAUUAAUCUGUACGUUUCUCGUUUUUUCUGAAAUGAAAACGUAUUGCUUGCGUAAUAAAAAAUGUUCAAGGGGA